This 254-nucleotide ribosomal RNA is filed under the name uncultured bacterium. RNAcentral describes it as "partial 16S ribosomal RNA". It matches the Rfam family "Bacterial small subunit ribosomal RNA", at positions 524 to 776 of the family's 1533-position model. The record is from RNAcentral.
UACGUAGGGGGCAAGCGUUGUCCGGAUUUAUUGGGCGUAAAGAGCUCGUAGGCGGCUCGGUAAGUCGGAUGUGAAACCUCCAGGCUCAACCUGGAGACGCCAUCUGAUACUGCCGUGGCUUGAGUCCGGUAGAGGAGCAGGGAAUUCCAGGUGUAGCGGUGAAAUGCGUAGAUAUCUGGAGGAACACCGGUGGCGAAGGCGGCAUCCUGGACCGGUAUUGACGCUGAGGCGCGAAAGCCAGGGGAGCAAACGGG